This 484-nucleotide ribosomal RNA is filed under the name uncultured bacterium. Its description in RNAcentral is "partial 16S ribosomal RNA". It matches the Rfam family "Bacterial small subunit ribosomal RNA", at positions 30 to 507 of the family's 1533-position model. The record is from RNAcentral.
AUUGAACGCUGGCGGCAGGCCUAACACAUGCAAGUCGAGCGGAUGAAGGGAGCUUGCUCCUGGAUUCAGCGGCGGACGGGUGAGUAAUGCCUAGGAAUCUGCCUGGUAGUGGGGGAUAACGUCCGGAAACGGGCGCUAAUACCGCAUACGUCCUGAGGGAGAAAGUGGGGGAUCUUCGGACCUCACGCUAUCAGAUGAGCCUAGGUCGGAUUAGCUAGUUGGUGGGGUAAAGGCCUACCAAGGCGACGAUCCGUAACUGGUCUGAGAGGAUGAUCAGUCACACUUGAACCGAGACAACGUUCAGGAUUCUAAGGGAGGGAGCAGUGGGGAAUAUUGGAAAAUGGGCGGAAGCCUGAUCCAGGCAUGGCGCGUGGGUGAAGAAGGGUUUCGGAAUGGAAAGCACUUUAAGUUGGGAGGAAGGGCAGUAAGUUAAUACCUUGCUGUUUUGACGUUACCAACAGAAUAAGCACCGGCUAACUUCGUG